UCUAAUUCACUGUCGGAAAACCAAGCCCCUAAUCCUGAUGGGAAUUCCGCUUCAGAGAAUGAGAGUGAUAUAUCAAUUGAUGCUCUAGCCAGACAGGUUCAAGAAUCACUUUCUCUUGCAAAAAGACAUAAAUUUUGGGAAACCCAACCUGUUGGUCAGUUCAAGGAUCUUGGUGAUUCGAGCUUGCCUGAAGGACCUAUUGAACCUCCAACACCACUGUCUGAAGUCAAACAAGAACCUUAUAAUCUUCCCAGUCUCUAUGAAUGGAUUACUUGUGACAUGGAAUCAACGGAUAUGUGCACUGAGGUUUAUAACCUCCUCACUAACAAUUAUGUGGAGGAUGAUGAUAACAUGUUCAGGUUUAAUUAUUCAAAGGAGUUUCUCCAUUGGGCUCUUCGGCCUCCAGGUUAUUACAAGAGCUGGCAUAUUGGAGUCCGAGUGAAAAGUUCAAAAAAGCUGGUUGCUUUUAUAACUGGGGUUCCUGCAAGAAUCCGGGUGCGAGAUAGUAUUGUCCAUAUGGCGGAGAUCAAUUUCCUGUGUGUUCAUAAGAAGCUUAGGUCGAAACGACUUGCUCCAGUCAUGAUUAAAGAGGUGACUAGGAGGGUUCACAUGGAAAAUAUUUGGCAAGCAGCUUAUACAGCUGGGGUGGUUCUCCCUACACCCAUAUCUACUUGUCAAUAUUGGCAUAGAUCAUUGAAUCCAAAGAAGCUUAUUGAUGUUGGGUUUUCCAGACUUGGGGCAAGAAUGACAAUGAGCCGCACAAUAAAGCUUUACAAGUUACCGGAUUUGACAGUUACUCCCGGUUUCAGGAAGAUGGAGCUCCAUGAUGUUCCUGCUGUUACCCGUUUGCUUAGGAAUUACUUAAAGCAGUUUGUUGUUGCACCUGACCUUGAUGAAAAUGAUGUAGAGCACUGGCUUCUUCCGAAGGAGGAUGUUGUGGACAGUUUUCUGGUUGAGAGCCCUGAUACUCAUGAGAUCACUGAUUUCUGCAGUUUUUACACACUUCCCUCAUCCAUUUUGGGCAAUCCAAAUUACUCGAUUUUGAAGGCUGCUUAUUCCUACUACAAUGUAUCUACUAAAACUCCUUUGCUUCAGCUGAUGAAUGACUGUCUUAUUGUGGCAAAACGGAAGGAUUAUGAUGUUUUCAAUGCAUUAGAUGUUAUGCAAAACGAAUCUUUUUUGAAGGAGCUGAAAUUUGGGCAAGGUGACGGAAAGCUCCACUAUUAUCUUUAUAACUACAGAGUAAAACAUGUCCUUAGACCAUCGGAACUUGGGCUUGUACUGUUGUAGUUUGAUCUUCAAAAUUUGAUCGUCUUGUGAAAGCAUUUCUGGUAUUCUGUGAUGAUUAUUCAGGCUUCAAAGAUGUAUCCGUUGCUCUGUCAUAGUAUCGGCAAUCUGUGAUUGGAUUUUUGUUUAAUUUCUGUGACGCUGUGGAAGACAAAUUUUGCCACCAUGAACUUAUCUUUAUUUUUAUUAGUUUGAUGGGCAUUGGCCAUUGUUGAGUUUGUGUAUCUGGAUUUUUUGGUUUCAUUUGCAUGUGCUGUACUUGAUUCAGCACAUGAUUGAUACUGAUAUCUCAAGAGAGUUAUUUAUAGGAUUUUAUUGAUUCUUUCUUCAUAGCAUCCAUCUGUAUUGGCAUCUAUCUUUAGCCAUUCGUUUAUACUUGCAAUUAGCUGGCAUGGAGAUAUUUUAAUGGAGCCUAGGCUAAUUUGUAAUCAUCGAUCGGUUUCUUCCAUGCAAUUUCAACUUUUGUUACUACUUGUGUAGGCAUAUUUUAACUUUUGGAUUGGAACAUCAAUUUCAAGGCAAUAUUUGUUUUAUUGUCCUUGGCAAUUUGAUACCUUUUAUUUAAUUUUUAUUUUAAAUUUCAUCUAGUCCUGUAUCCUAACCCACACACACCAGUCAGUCUUCCUUCAUAUUGGAAUGGGCAUGUAGAGAAGAAAAUAGUCAAAUACAUAGGGUUUGAAGGAAUAUGACAAUAAUUAAUGAGUUAAAGAAUCACUCCCAGGCAGGCUAGGGAUAGUUGAAAAAUGCGAGUGUUCCAAAUGAAAAUUUACAUUUUUGCCCACAACCAAGUACGCCAGCCACACAAGGAUAAUUCAAGUGUAACUAACUAUAUAUAACCCGAGUCGAGAAAGAUAUUGGUAUAACGGUAUAACCAAUCUAACACUGGUUCGAAAUCGACAUCCUUAAAACAAACUUCUUUGCUUGUUUAGAUAAGUAAGUUGGUCUGGUGUUCAGCUCAAAUAAGCCCGACUCUUUUUGCAUUAAAUUAGUUAUUUUUAUAAUAAUAAAUUUAAACGAGUCAGACAUAAAUUACAUUAAACUUGACUCGCUUAAGCUGGAACUUUUAUAAGAUAGAUGAGAGUUAAAAAGGAACGAGGCAAACCAUAUUCAAAUGCUAAGGACCUUUAAUGUAAAAAGCAUGGAAAGUCUCGGGGUAGUUGGAAUUGACAUAAAAUAUCAGGAGCAAAAUGUAAUUUACGUUAAUCUUGUAUCCCUCGCUUCUACACUCGUGACCAUAAUGUUUAAAACUUUAUAUUAGCAUACUCCAAGUACACUUAAAUAAAUAAAAGUGACUCAAAAAACUUUUCUAGCCAAAAAAUAUGCAUGCUAACUUGUAUCUUAACCUUAUAAAUCCAAAAAAAUAUUUAAGGUUUUAUAAAAAAAGACUAUUAAUAAUAAGGACAAAACAGUAAUAUACAAAUAUAAAUAAAAAUAAAAUUUACACAUACAAACCCAUGGUCUUUUUAAAACCACUCAAUUUUCCAAACAACCCAACUUUACUAUCUAUACAAAUACUCUCAAUCUCUCUUGGUAAGCUAAACUAAGCCCAACUAAAAAAAUAAUAAUAAAUAAAUAACAAUGGCUUUUAUUCUUCCAAAUACUUCUCCUACUAUGCACUCCAAUCCAAAGAAAAACUCAUUUAAUUCCAUAAAUUCCUACCAAAAUUCUCUCAUUUCUUCUCCAUCCGCAACAAAUCCCUCCUUUUCCAUCAUCCUCUCUCUUCUCACCAAGCUUGAACCCCCCAUAUCGAGUACUUCAGGUUAAUAAAGCCCCCCUGGCUAGAAGCACAAAAAUGAUGAUUUAUAUGCCAAUCUUGAUUUGGCUGUAUGAACCCUCCGUGAAGACCUACCUUUAAUCUUCACUAAAGAUCUUAAUUGUGAUAUUUACAUUUAUGAAUAAAUGAAUUUGGAGUUGGGGUUUCAUUUGUGUAAACGAAUUUGGGGUUUUUUGUUGAAUCAUUGGCAGGGAUGAUAUUACAUUUGUAGACUUUGUUAACAAAUUUAUUGGGUUUGAAUUUGGGGUUUCUUAAAAUCAGUCAUAACCUUAGAAUGAAGACAAUCCGUAAGAAUGGGACACCUUUUCUUCCUUUUUUUUUAUUUUUCUUUUGUUUUCUUAUUGCCUGCACCGCCACAAUCACAAACUCAACACUCGCGCCGCCACAAUUACAAACCCAACACCCACACCACUACAAUUCCAAUCCCCAAAUUCAUCUACACCCCCACCAUCCACCAUAAACCAUAAACAAAUAAAUAUUCCUCACCAACCCCUCAAAGCACCACAUACAUUUACAAAUUUAAACAAAAACACCACAAAAAAAUAUAAAUUAGGAGGAAAAAAGAGUUCUUUAAGAAAAAAGAUCGAUCUAAAAAAUAAAGAGACAUGGCUGCGCAAAUCGAAGAAAAUUUACUUAUUUAAGAUGGUGAUUCUGAUGUCAGUGAUGGCUUCACAACAACUUCCCUCUUAGGUUAAAUACAUUAAAAAUACAUGAAAUACAUGACUUAUUUAGUUUUAAUAUCAAAAUACACCGAAAAUACAAAUUAAAUUACAAAUACAGUGAAAUACAAGUAUUUUCGGUGAAACGUCAAACAUUCAAGCCGAAAAAGUUUUUGGGGUCAACUUUGUUUAUUGUGUAUUUGGAGCAAGGUUUUCAAACUCGGACCGGACCGCCAGUCGAACCGGAAAAAAUCGGACCCGGUUCACUCAACGGUCCGGUUUGGACCACUAAACCACUUCUGCUCAAAAACCGUUCAGAACUAGUGAACCGGUGGUUGAACCGGUUGACCCAGUGAACCAGUGACCGGUUCACGGGUUUGACCGGUUCUCUCCUUAAAGAUUAAAAAAAAAAAUAUUACGGAUUUUAUUUUAUUUUAGUGAUUUAGUUGAGACUUUGUUUAGUAUUUUACAUAUUUUUGCAUUCAUUUAAUCAAACACUUGAACUUGUGGUUGAAUUUCGGAAUUUGAAUGUAUCUUAGAGAUGUUUAGUUUUUUUUUUGUGUAGAUAAAUUGAUUAAUUUUACAUAUUUACUAAAUAUUAUAUACAAUAUAUAAUAAUAAUUAAUAUAAUUAAUUAUUUAUUAGUUAUUACAUAUUAAUGACGUCACUGGGUCAAUAACGGUCCGACCACUGGUGGGACCAGUGACCCAUCCACCCAGUAAUUUUUCCGGUUCGAUGUCCGGUCCGGGUUUUAAAAACCUUGAUUUGGAGUAUGCUAAUGUAAGAUUUUAAACAUUAGUAUCAUAAGUGCAAAAAGGGUUAUAUUUUGAGGAAAAUAAAUGUAUUUAACCUAAAUUAAUUAAUUAAUUAAUAUUGUUCUUUAGUCUGUUAUAGGUUAGGGCUUCACAUUUCACACAGAGAAACUCGGACAAGAAGAAGAAAAAAAACAAUUGCGGCAUCGAUGGGAUAAAACGGAUCGGCGGCGACAUCGUUCGAACGAGGCUUUCCGUUUGAGUUGUGAGUAAUUUAUUUCUAUUAUUAUUUUCUCUAUAGUCGUUCUUCAGCUUCAAAGUAACCUACCUAUUACCAGUUGAUUCACAUAGAUUUAAGCCAUAAUUGAGUUCAAGGAUUAUAGAAGAACACAUAUAAUCACACAUACAAGUAUAUAACUUUGUGAAUCGGUUUUUAUCCAUCUCAACUAGUCGUUAAACAGACUUGUACAAGAUCUUGGAUUUGUAACUCGUGGAAUUAUUGUCAUUUUUUGAUACUCUUGAGCUGUUUUUGAGGGAAUUUAACGUGCAAAAGAAUCCAAUUUUCCUUGUUUUGUUAAUAUGAAAAGGGAUGAAAAAGAAAACAGAAGGAAGAAAAAGAGGGUAUUUGAAUUUGAACACUAUUCUUUUAUUUUAUCGUUGGAGCUCAGUGUGAGAAAGAAAUGCAAAUAUAAAAGAAUAUUAAUACUGACUGAAGGUAAUAAUCAAAUCAACUGUUCAUUUUUUUAUUAUUUUUUUAAUUUUAAUUAUAUUAUUAAAAGAGCUACAUAUGUUAUGAGAUCUGAAUAAGAAUGUAGAGUUGUGCUUGUGUUAAUUUAUAGUGCAUUUCUUUCUCCACUUAUGCAGAGUUGUGUUUGUGCUCAUAUGUAGUACAUUUCUUUUGCUUUUUUUCUUUUCAUUUUCUCCAUACCAUCUCAAUGAUCCAAAUUGAGUUUUAUUUUCUUUUAGUGCUAUAAUGGCCAAAUAAAUCAUAGUUUUGUUAUCUUACAGUCUACCGUAAUGGCUGACAAUGAUUCAACCUCUAAUUCACUGUUGGAAAACCAAACCCCUAAUCCUGAUGGGAAUUCCGCUUCAGAGAAUGAGAGUGAUAUAUCAAUUGAUUCUCUAGCAAGACAGGUUCAAGAAUCACUUUCUCUUGCAAAAAGACAUAAAUUUUGGGAAACCCAACCUGUUGGUCAGUUCAAGGAUCUCGGUGAUUCGAGCUUGCCUGAAGGACCUAUUGAACCUCCAACACCACUGUCUGAAGUCAAACAAGAACCUUAUAAUCUUCCCAGUCUCUAUGAAUGGAUUACUUGUGACAUGGAAUCAACGGAUAUGUGCACUGAGGUUUAUAACCUCCUCACUAACAAUUAUGUGGAGGAUGAUGAUAACAUGUUCAGGUUUAAUUAUUCAAAGGAGUUUCUCCAUUGGGCUCUUCGGCCUCCUGGUUAUUAUAAGAGCUGGCAUAUUGGGGUCCGAGUGAAAAGUUCAAAAAAGCUGG
This 5970-nucleotide long non-coding RNA is filed under the name Panax ginseng (ginseng). RNAcentral describes it as "long non-coding RNA (PGIN_LNC005756)". The record is from RNAcentral. Lineage: Eukaryota; Viridiplantae; Streptophyta; Magnoliopsida; Apiales; Araliaceae.